UACGUAGGGGGCAAGCGUUGUCCGGAUUUAUUGGGCGUAAAGAGCGUGUAGGCGGCCAUACAGGUCCGUUGUGAAAACUGGAGGCUUAACCUCCAGACGUCGAUGGAAACCGUAUGGCUAGAGUCCGGAAGAGGAGAUUGGAAUUCCUGGUGUAGCGGUGAAAUGCGCAGAUAUCAGGAGGAACACCAACAGCGAAGGCAGAUCUCUGGGACGUAACUGACGCUGAGACGCGAAAGCGUGGGGAGCAAACAGG
This 253-nucleotide ribosomal RNA is filed under the name uncultured bacterium. Its description in RNAcentral is "partial 16S ribosomal RNA". It matches the Rfam family "Bacterial small subunit ribosomal RNA", at positions 524 to 776 of the family's 1533-position model. The record is from RNAcentral.